Molecule: ribosomal RNA, 157 nt
Filed under: uncultured bacterium
Lineage: Bacteria
Description: partial 16S ribosomal RNA
Rfam family: Bacterial small subunit ribosomal RNA
Source: RNAcentral
GAAAAACCCUGGAGCAGCCACGUCGCGUGCAGGAUGACGGCCUUCUGGUUUGUAAACUGCUUUUUUACGGGAAUAAGGUGAGAUUCGUGUGACUUUUUGUCUGUACCGUAUGCAUAAGGACCCCCUAAUUCAAAGCCAGCCCCGCCGUAAUAAAUAA